AUUGAACGCUGGCGGCAUGCCUUACACAUGCAAGUCGAACGGCAGCACGGGUGCUUGCACCUGUUGACGAUUGGCGAAGGGGGGAGUGUUACAUGGGAACAUGUCCUGUAUUGGAGUGGGGCACGUCGAAAGCCGGAUUGAUACCGCAUACGAUCAACUCCUAAAACCGGGUGCGCUUGUGGCCUCGCGCUUUGGGGUUGGCCGAUGGCGGAUUAGCUAGUUGGUGGGGUAAAGGCCUACCAAGGCGACGAUCAGUAGCUGGUCUGAGAGGAAGACCAGCCACACUGGGACUGAGACACGGCCCAGACUCCUACGGGAGGCAGCAGUGGGGAAUUUUGGACAAUGGGCGAAAGCCUGAUCCAGCAAUGCCGCGUGUGUGAAGAAGGCCUUCGGGUUGUAAAGCACUUUUGUCAGGAAAGAAAUCCCUGGCACUAAUCCGGUCGGGGGAUGACGGUACCGAAAGAAUAAGCACCGGCUAACUACGCG
RNAcentral lists this ribosomal RNA (486 nucleotides) under uncultured bacterium. Its description in RNAcentral is "partial 16S ribosomal RNA". It matches the Rfam family "Bacterial small subunit ribosomal RNA", at positions 30 to 507 of the family's 1533-position model. The record is from RNAcentral.